RNAcentral lists this long non-coding RNA (836 nucleotides) under Volvox carteri. Its description in RNAcentral is "long non-coding RNA (VCAR_LNC002536)". The record is from RNAcentral. Lineage: Eukaryota; Viridiplantae; Chlorophyta; Chlorophyceae; Chlamydomonadales; Volvocaceae.
GGCGACCGGAUAAGUGCAACCGAAUCGGCCUAGCCUUAUCCGCAUAGGCUAGGCAUUCGUCCCUGCGCAGCUUUCAAUAUGCAACGUAAAAAUCUAUUUUUGCAAUAGGGGUUUUUGUCCAGAACCGAAACGAUGGAAGCCAAAAGCACAAUAAAUAGCUUGAAGGACGACUCGCACCACACGAGACUUGACGCUUCACCAACUACUCAACCCAGAUCAGGUAUCGUAAGGCAUGGCAGUGCAGAAGAAAACUCGCGGCCGCAAAUGCCUGUCAAUGACCGAUUCCCUUACUCUGGGAAUUUACACUUUUUCCUAAGAGGCAAUCAGGCCCAUCAACGCGGGCAAUCCACAUAGCGGUUUACAGCACAGGCGAACGUGCGACCUGCAGUCGUGCAGGUAUCCUCAAAAAGUCACCUCUCACACUCUGCUGUGGAACUGAUGAGGCCUGAUAACGGAUUUCGCGGAGCCGCCACACAUUCCUUCAUGCCAGGGGAUGAAGGGGACCUAAUAUGUGCUCACAAUGUUCGACAUCACACAGUAAACAGUUGUCGCACGCUGACUGAGCCCCACUAGGUGAACCAAACACAGCCACCCAAAAUGCAUGCAUCUGCCAAUACCGUACCCCAGGCAUUUCCAAGCAGAUCCAAGAAGACCUUCCAACCUGUUUUGUCAUCUGAAUUACCCCGGGACGAAGAAAAAGAGAGUUCGCCUGUAGCUGACCAAUGAAGACCGGUCCGAGAAUGUUUGACACCUUUGACAACGUAACUAAGGAAAUGACCGUGGGGAAGGCGAACGGCGGGCGGUGGGCAGGAGGCAUAUGAGGACAGACAGCCGGC